UACAGAGGGGGCAAGCGUUGUUCGGAAUUACUGGGCGUAAAGGGUGCGUAGGCGGUUCGUUAAGUCUGUCGUGAAAUCCCCGGGCUCAACCUGGGAAUGGCGAUGGAUACUGGCGAGCUAGAGUGUGUCAGAGGAUGGUGGAAUUCCCGGUGUAGCGGUGAAAUGCGUAGAGAUCGGGAGGAACAUCAGUGGCGAAGGCGGCCAUCUGGGACAACACUGACGCUGAAGCACGAAAGCGUGGGGAGCAAACAGG
This 253-nucleotide ribosomal RNA is filed under the name uncultured bacterium. Its description in RNAcentral is "partial 16S ribosomal RNA". It matches the Rfam family "Bacterial small subunit ribosomal RNA", at positions 524 to 776 of the family's 1533-position model. The record is from RNAcentral.